GACGAACGCUGGCGGCGUGCCUAAUACAUGCAAGUAGAACGCUGAAGGGAGAGCUUGCUCUUCUGGAUGAGUUGCGAACGGGUGAGUAACGCGUAGGUAACCUGCCUGGUAGCGGGGGAUAACUAUUGGAAACGAUAGCUAAUACCGCAUAACAUUGACUAUUGCAUGAUAGUUAAUUGAAAGGUGCAAAUGCACCACUACCAGAUGGACCUGCGUUGUAUUAGCUAGUUGGUGGGGUAACGGCUCACCAAGGCGACGAUACAUAGCCGACCUGAGAGGGUGAUCGGCCACACUGGGACUGAGACACGGCCCAGACUCCUACGGGAGGCAGCAGUAGGGAAUCUUCGGCAAUGGACGGGAAGUCUGACCGAGCAACGCCGCGUGAGUGAAAGAAGGUUUUUCGGAUUCGUAAAAGCUCUGUUGUAAGAG
This 429-nucleotide ribosomal RNA is filed under the name Streptococcus cristatus. RNAcentral describes it as "bacterial SSU rRNA". It matches the Rfam family "Bacterial small subunit ribosomal RNA", at positions 28 to 444 of the family's 1533-position model. Lineage: Bacteria; Bacillati; Bacillota; Bacilli; Lactobacillales; Streptococcaceae. The record is from RNAcentral.